RNAcentral lists this ribosomal RNA (400 nucleotides) under uncultured bacterium. RNAcentral's name for it is "bacterial SSU rRNA". It matches the Rfam family "Bacterial small subunit ribosomal RNA", at positions 355 to 752 of the family's 1533-position model. The record is from RNAcentral.
UAGGGAAUAUUGGACAAUGGGGGAAACCCUGAUCCAGCCAUGCCGCGUGCAGGAUGACUGCCCUAUGGGUUGUAAACUGCUUUUGUACGGGAAGAAACCACAUUACGUGUAAUGUGUUGACGGUACCGUGAGAAUAAGGAUCGGCUAACUUCGUGCCAGCAGCCGCGGUAAUACGAAGGAUCCUAGCGUUGUCCGGAUUUACUGGGUUUAAAGGGUGCGUAGGCGGACUUUUAAGUCAGUGGUGAAAGCCUGCAGCUUAACUGUAGAAUUGCCAUUGAAACUGAAAGUCUCGAGUGUGGUUGAGGUAGCUGGAAUGUAUCAUGUAGCGGUGAAAUGCUUAGAUAUGAUACAGAACUCCAAUUGCGAAGGCAGGCUACUAAACCAUAACUGACGCUGAGGC